AACAAUAUAAAGUCCAAAAGAGUUUUAAAACUUUAGAAUCUCUCUAAAAUGUAGAAAACCUGAUAUUCUAUCCUUCAAGACUUUAAAGCCAGACCCAAUAAUCAAGAUUAAGAUAAACAAUCGACGGUGUGGCUGACGAGCACAGGCAGUGGCGCGAUUGAACGUGGGUGGCUGCGAGGGAGAAGCUAGUUACAGAGAGGGAGAGAGAAAUCUAAGGAAUAAAGAGAGAGAGAGAGGCGUUGCUCUGACCAUCGUGCGGAGGCGCGGACUGCAAGUGUUCAGUGGCAGACGGAGACGGAGGCUCGAUGGGUAGCGGAUGGUGAUCAAUGCUGGACAAUGAGGGGGAUGGGUUGCAAGAGUUAGGGGAACUCCCGACGCCUAUCGGGGUGCGUUGGGAGUUCCCACUUAAAAACCCACCAAAGUAUAUAUUCGAGAGAAAAAGGUCGAGCAGAACCCUGUCGCUCGAAAACGCACCACCGUUGUUCGUGCCACAGUCGUCCAGAUCAUCUUCGACAAUGUUGCCGCCCCCGCCUGCCCUAUCUCUUCCGGUCUUCAACGAUGAACAAGAAUUGGAUCAAACUUAGAAAUAAAUUGGAUCAAUUUGAGCUCAAUGAACACCAAGGGGAGUGGGACGUGCGGACCUAUUCAAAGAAACACAUGCCAAUAAGAGUGACCAAUUCGUGAAUCAAGCAACUGAGGAUGUCCAUAAGGUUCUCAACCACUCUCAGGAAAAGAAAUAUGCAAGAAGAUUUUAGAUAGACGAUCGUACUAUUCAAAUUGUCUUGAUUGGGGCCCCAAACCCAAGUCAAAGAAGGGUGGGUAGCAGUGCAUCGAGUUCAAUGUCUCAAAAAGUACGUAGGGAGGUGAGGGAACUAAGAAAUAUCCUUGAGAGCUCGCAAUCUUGGAUUGAAAAACAAAGUCAUAUGAUUGAAAACAAAGUCAUAUGAUUGAAGAACAACGCCAUAUGAUUGAAGAACAAAGUCAUGUGAUUAAAGAACAAGGACGUGUGAUUGAAGAACAAAGUUGUAUAAAUAAAGAAUACAACCAUAUGAUUGAAGAAAUGAAAAAAAAAAUGAUUGAAGAAAUAAAACGAGCACAGACAGGACCUUGAACUUAAGGAGUGGACUUGGUUCGAUGACGUCUGACGAUGAGAGAUUAUGGAUUUUUUUAUGUAUUUAUUGUUCCAAAUGAACAUUGUAAACAAACUCUCUUUUUUCUUAAUGAAAUAUGUUCUAAUUUUGUAAAUUAA
Cucumis melo (muskmelon) is the source of this 1249-nucleotide long non-coding RNA. RefSeq lists it as uncharacterized. Lineage: Eukaryota; Viridiplantae; Streptophyta; Magnoliopsida; Cucurbitales; Cucurbitaceae. The record is from RefSeq and is a predicted model, not a curated record. The transcript has 4 exons.